RNAcentral lists this long non-coding RNA (1531 nucleotides) under Chlamydomonas reinhardtii. Its description in RNAcentral is "long non-coding RNA (CREI_LNC000961)". Lineage: Eukaryota; Viridiplantae; Chlorophyta; Chlorophyceae; Chlamydomonadales; Chlamydomonadaceae. The record is from RNAcentral.
UCCAAUCACAGGUGCUCAGCGCCCUCUCGCUGUUCGUCAAAUAUAUGCACGCGAUAGCGACACUUGCCCCGCAGAUAUACAGCGACCCCGGCUCGCGUCUGAGGAUUUGCCCCUACCUAUUUGCAUAUUUGCCCUCCGGGUUCCAUCAAUCAGCGCAACCACAUCAUCAAUCAUCACCGCCGCCGUCGGCUGCCGCCAGCUCCCUUGCUCGCCGGCUUCGCGCCCGCCCCCGCCGCGUCGCCGCCGCCUCCUGCCGGCGCUGGCGGCCCGCCCGUCACCCCCUCCAGCUGGUCGUCCAUCUCGCUGUACAGCGACUUGAGCUGUGCCAGCUGGUCCUUGUUGGGGCUCCACAUGCCGCGGCCCGCCGCCUCCAGCAUGCGCCGCAGCACGUUGGCAAAGGCCUGGUGGGUGGCGUGACAAGAGGAGGAGUGGAGAGGGGCCGGGGAGAGGAGGAAUGGAGAGGGGCAGUGGAGAGGGGUAGUGGAGAGGGGCAGUGGAGAUAGAAGAGAGGAGAGGAGAGGGGUAGCCAUCCACACAAAUGUGGGAUACGAUCAGGUUGCGAGGAGUGUGCCGGACAGCGCGGAUGAGGAGGUGUCUCGCCUGCUGCUGUACACGCGGCACGCACCUGCGGGUUGUUCUUCUUGAGCUUGCUGGCCAUCUCCUCAUCGCCCACAUACGUGUCCAUGGCCUGACAUCAGUGCGAUUGAGGGGGAGAUGGAGGGGGAGAUGGAGGGGGCACGGGAGCGUGUGUGUUUGUGUCUGGUGUGGUCGGAGGCGAGGAAGGGUGGGUUUAUCCCCCCCCCCAUUCCAUGAAGCCAUGAGCAUCACAGGCCAUUUUGGUUCACAUUACAGGCAUCACGCCCCCCCGCUUGCAACUAACGCCUCUGCCUGCACUCCCGUUUUCGUUGGUUUUGGUUUAGUUUGGGCUGGUAUUUACAACCCCCCCCCCCCACACACGUGCCGCUCCCUUCCCCUCUCCGGGCUCGCAGAUCCCCGCCCGCCCACCUCCACCAACCCACCCUCCUCCACCAACCCUAUACCACCAACCCUCCCCCCCCCUCCCUCCCCCCCUCCCUCCCCCCUCCCUCGCCUCCUCACCUGGUCCCACACCCAGCCCUCCCUGAAAUCGGUGGUGGCGCCCCAGCCCACCAACGCCGUCAUGCGCUGACUGAUCUCGUAGGCGCCGCCGCUGCCCUGCGCCGCCAUGGCCCGGGCCCACCUGCGGCCGGGUGGGGAUUCCAUACAGAAUGAUACCGGUAGAUUAAGAAGUGAAGUUGUAGCCAGGCAGGGGAGGAGCGAUGGGGCGGUGGGGGCGAUGUAUGACGUAGGGUCAUGAAGUGGGGGGCAGUGGGGUGCGCAACUACCAGUUGUGGCUCUUGCGCACGUCUCUCAGUAUACACACGUCUCUUCAUCAUCUCCUAGCGUGCCCCGCUCGAGUCAUGCAUCAAGUUACACACGGUACCCGGUAACCAUACCAACAACAAGCGCCCACCACCACUGAGCAACCGAAUCCCCGAACCCCUCGCCCCCU